Molecule: long non-coding RNA, 3736 nt
Filed under: Oncorhynchus mykiss (rainbow trout)
Lineage: Eukaryota; Metazoa; Chordata; Actinopteri; Salmoniformes; Salmonidae
Description: lncRNA (ENSOMYG00000064591.1)
Source: RNAcentral
AUGAAUGGGACAAAACCUGUAGCUGGUGACAAGGCAAAGAAAGGAAAAGGCCAGGGUAACAUAAGGAGAGGCCAGGGUAACAUAAGGAGAGGCCAGGGUAACAUAAGGAGAGGCCAGGGUAACAUAAUGAGAGGCCAGGGUAACAUAAGGAGAGGCCAAGGUAACAUAAGGAGAGGCCAGGGUAACAUAAGGAGAGGCCAGGGUAACAUAAGGAGAGGUAAGGGUAACAUAAGGAGAAGCCAGGUUAACAUAAGGAGAGGCCAGGUUAACAUAAGGAGAGGUCAGGGUCACUUAAGGAGAGGCCAGGGUAACAUAAGGAGAGGCCAGGGUAACAUAAGGAGAGGCCAGGGUAACAUAAGGAGAGGCCAGGGUAACAUAAGGAGAGGCCAGGGUAACAUAAGGAGAGGCCAGGGUAACAUAAGGAGAGGCCAGGGUAACAUAAGGAGAGGCCAGGGUAACAUAAGGAGAGGCCAGGGUAACAUAAGGAGAGGCCAGGUUAACAUAAGGAGAGGCCAGGGUAACAUAAGGAGAGGCCAGGGUAACAUAAGGAGAGGCCAGGGUAACAUAAGGAGAGGCCAGGUUAACAUAAGGAAAGAGAGGGAACAUGGCAUUGAAAGAGGGAGGUGUUUUACUGAAUUGCAUUAUCAUAACAAAUGUUUCACUGCAAAAAAAAAAAGAUUUAAUUUACAAAUAAUUUGCUCUCACGUUUAAACAUUAUUUCCUUGCAAUAUUUAGUUUUGUCGUCAAUACCUUGGGGUUUUAGUUUUGCCAUCAAUACCUUGGGGUUUUAGUUUUGCCAUCAAUACCUUGGAGUUUUAGUUUUGCCAUCAAUACCUUGGGGUUUUAGUUUUGUCAUCAAUACCUUGGAGUUUUAGUUUUGUCAUCAAUACCUUGGGGUUUUAGUUUUGUCAUCAAUACCUUGGGGUUUUAGUUUUGACAUCAAUACCUUGGGGUUUUAGUUUUGUCAUCAAUACCUUGGGGUUUUAGUUUUGACAUCAAUACCUUGGGGUUUUAGUUUUGCCAUCAAUACCUUGGGGUUUUAGUUUUGUCAUCAAUUCCUUGGGGUUUUAGUUUUGCCAUCAAUACCUUGGGGUUUUAGUUUUGACAUCAAUACCUUGGGGUUUUAGUUUUGACAUCAAUACCUUGGAGUUUUAGUUUUGACAUCAAUACCUUGGGGUUUUAGUUUUGACAUCAAUACCUUGGGGUUUUAGUUUUGUCAUCAAUACCUUGGGGUUUUAGUUUUGACAUCAAUACCUUGGGGUUUUAGUUUUGCCAUCAAUACCUUGGAGUUUUAGUUUUGACAUCAAUACCUUGGGGUUUUAGUUUUGUCAUCAAUACCUUGGAGUUUUAGUUUUGUCAUCAAUACCUUGGGGUUUUAGUUUUGUCAUCAAUACCUUGGGGUUUUAGUUUUGUCAUCAAUACCUUGGAGUUUUAGUUUUGUCAUCAAUACCUUGGAGUUUUAGUUUUGUCAUCAAUACCUUGGGGUUUUAGUUUUGUCAUCAAUACCUUGGAGUUUUAGUUUUGUCAUCAAUACCUUGGGGUUUUAGUUUUGUCAUCAAUUCCUUGGGGUUUUAGUUUUGCCAUCAAUACCUUGGGGUUUUAGUUUUGACAUCAAUACCUUGGGGUUUUAGUUUUGACAUCAAUACCUUGGAGUUUUAGUUUUGACAUCAAUACCUUGGGGUUUUAGUUUUGACAUCAAUACCUUGGGGUUUUAGUUUUGUCAUCAAUACCUUGGGGUUUUAGUUUUGACAUCAAUACCUUGGGGUUUUAGUUUUGUCAUCAAUACCUUGGGGUUUUAGUUUUGUCAUCAAUACCUUGGGGUUUUAGUUUUGUCAUCAAUACCUUGGGGUUUUAGUUUUGUCAUCAAUACCUUGGGGUUUUAGUUUUGUCAUCAAUACCUUGGGGUUUUAGUUUUGUCAUCAAUACCUUGGGGUUUUAGUUUUGACAUCAAUACCUUGGGGUUUUAGUUUUGUCAUCAAUACCUUGGGGUUUUAGUUUUGACAUCAAUACCUUGGAGUUUUAGUUUUGUCAUCAAUACCUUGGAGUUUUAGUUUUGACAUCAAUACCUUGGGGUUUUAGUUUUGUCAUCAAUACCUUGGGGUUUUAGUUUUGACAUCAAUACCUUGGGGUUUUAGUUUUGUCAUCAAUACCUUGGGGUUUUAGUUUUGUCAUCAAUACCUUGGGGUUUUAGUUUUGUCAUCAAUACCUUGGAGUUUAAGUUUUGUCAUCAAUACCUUGGGGUUUUAGUUUUGUUUUUAACAUCAUUCUUUUUGUUUGGAAUACUAAUAAUUCUGUUCUCAACUUCAGAAGUUUUGCUUCUAAAGUAACUCUAACUGAAGGACUGCACCACAUAAUAACACUAUAACUCUAUGAAAUGUGCUUAAAGCGGCCAUCUUUAAUUUAAUCACUAACAGUGUUCUCACCGCCACAGUAAAAAGUUGAGGGAUGGGUCUGGAGAAAUGCAACCACUCUCAAAUCCAUAGACUAUGCUAUGGAUGCAAAGACUGACCACCUAUGAUGCCAAAUAGUUGUAACCAUGUUUUGAGGCUACACAGUGUUUGUUUACAUUUACAAACAUUGGAGUUUUCUUACAUGUAAAACCGCAAAUUUGACAAGUGCUUUUUUGGCAAAGGAGUGUGUGCAUGUCUGUGUGUGUGUGUGAACAGACAAGUAAGAACAGGUCUUCCCCACUAGCCCUGAAGCCCAGCCUUUCUGCAUGUGAAAUGUGAUGGACCAAGUCACUACACAGAAAUCAAAGUGCCUCUCCAGAAAUCAACCUUCUCCAGAAAUCAACCUUCUCCAGAAAUCAACCUUCUCCAGAAAUCAACCUUCUCCAGACCAAGAAAGGGACGGAAAAACAAUAGUAAAAAAGAAAUAUGUACUGUGCCAACUACAGUACAAUACUAUAGCAUUACUAUAGUACUAUACUAUAACAUUACUAUAGCGCUAUACUAUAGCACUACUACAGUACUAUACUAUAACAUUACUAUAGUCCUAUACUAUAACAUUACCAUGGUACUAUACUAUAACAUGACAUUACCAUAGUACUAUACUAUAACAUUACUAUAGCACUAUACUAUAACAUUACUAUAGUACUAUGCUAAAACAUCACUACAGUACUAUACUAUAACAUUACAUUACUAUAGUACUAUACUAUAACAUUACGCCACUAUAGUACUAUGCUAUAACAUUACUAUAGUACUAUACUAUAACAUUACUAUAGUACUAUACUAUAACAUUGCUAUAGUACUAUACUAUAACAUCACUAUAGUACUAUACUGUACCAUUACUAUGGUAAUAUACUAUAACAUUACAUUACUAUAGUACUAUACUAUAACAUUACUAUAGUACUAUACUAUAACAUUACAUUACUAUAGUACUAUACUAUAACAUUACUAUAGCACCAUACUAUAGCAUUACUGCAGUACUAUACUAUAGCAUUACUACAGCACUAUACUAUAACAUUACGUUACUAUAGUACUAUACUAUAGCAUUACUAUAGUACUAUACCAUACCAUUACUAUAGUACUAUACUAUAACAUUACUAUAGUACUAUACUAUAACAUUACAUUACUAUAGUACUAUACGAUAACAUUACUAUAGUACCAUACUAUAGCAUUACUGCAGUACUAUACUAUAGCAUUACUACAACACUAUACUAUAACAUUACGUUACUAUAGUACUAUACUAUAGCAUUACUAUAUUACUAUACCAUACCAUUACUAUGGUACUAUAC